Molecule: transfer RNA, 16 nt
Filed under: Pomaderris rugosa
Lineage: Eukaryota; Viridiplantae; Streptophyta; Magnoliopsida; Rosales; Rhamnaceae
Description: partial tRNA-Gln
Source: RNAcentral
CGAUCCUUCCGUCCCA